UGACGAGCGGCGGACGGGUGAGUAAUGCUUGGGAACAUGCCUUGAGGUGGGGGACAACAGUUGGAAACGACUGCUAAUACCGCAUAAUGUCUACGGACCAAAGGGGGCUUCGGCUCUCGCCUUUAGAUUGGCCCAAGUGGGAUUAGCUAGUUGGUGAGGUAAUGGCUCACCAAGGCGACGAUCCCUAGCUGGUUUGAGAGGAUGAUCAGCCACACUGGGACUGAGACACGGCCCAGACUCCUACGGGAGGCAGCAGUGGGGAAUAUUGCACAAUGGGCGCAAGCCUGAUGCAGCCAUGCCGCGUGUGUGAAGAAGGCCUUCGGGUUGUAAAGCACUUUCAGUCAGGAGGAAAGGUUAGUAGUUAAUACCUGCUAGCUGUGACGUUACUGACAGAAGAAGCACCGGCUAACUCCGUGCCAGCAGCCGCGGUAAUACGGAGGGUGCGAGCGUUAAUCGGAAUUACUGGGCGUAAAGCGUACGCAGGCGGUUUGUUAAGCGAGAUGUGAAAGCCCCGGGCUCAACCUGGGAACUGCAUUUCGAACUGGCAAACUAGAGUGUGAUAGAGGGUGGUAGAAUUUCAGGUGUAGCGGUGAAAUGCGUAGAGAUCUGAAGGAAUACCGAUGGCGAAGGCAGCCACCUGGGUCA
Molecule: ribosomal RNA, 645 nt
Filed under: Pseudoalteromonas sp. UW-6
Lineage: Bacteria; Pseudomonadati; Pseudomonadota; Gammaproteobacteria; Alteromonadales; Pseudoalteromonadaceae
Description: bacterial SSU rRNA
Rfam family: Bacterial small subunit ribosomal RNA
Source: RNAcentral